Phacochoerus africanus (Common warthog) is the source of this 819-nucleotide long non-coding RNA. RefSeq lists it as uncharacterized. The record is from RefSeq and is a predicted model, not a curated record. The transcript has 6 exons. NCBI's taxonomy places the organism in Eukaryota, Metazoa, Chordata, Mammalia, Artiodactyla, Suidae.
GGCCAGAGUGCGAGGCUGCCAACUCGCUGCUCUGUGGAGCUGACGGCGUUCUGAGGAAGCUGAGGAAUUUCAGCUGACCAGCUAACUGAUUUAGAAGAAGCAAGAUGGACAAAAUGAUUGCUUGCUUGGGAAGUUUGGCUAAGACCAAGUGAAGGUCCUCGAAGACUAAUGGCUGUGCAAGACCCCGGUGCUGGAAACCACAGCCAUACACAACAGGGAGUUGAAAUGAGUCAAGGUGGGGUGCCCACAAGGGCCAAGUCAAAAGGGAAGAGGAGAGUUCACCCCCCACGGCCUCAGGAAAAGUACAGCGACCCUUGAACAACACAGUUGUGAACUGCACAAGUCCACCUAUAUGUGGAUUUUUUUCCCCUAAGUAUAUAAAAGUAAAUGUGCAGGACGCCGUGUGCAAGACUUGUAAUGAAGUGGAUAACCUAUCCUUACUAAGGCUUAAGAUCUACAGAAAGAAAAGAAAAAUGUCCAUGGGAAGAAGUGACAAGAAACAGCAGUGGAGGAAUAUCAAUGAUUAUUGACAGGCAUGUUCCAAACAAGCUCUGAUUUUCUUGGCAAAACAGCCCCAUAAAGAGUCUCACCAACUUCUCCCUUGGGAGACUCGGAGACUCAGGCAAGGGAAAAAAAAACGAGGCUAGACACCUGUCCCCAAAGGAAAAAGGAAGAACACACCUGGAGAGCAGAUCAGACAAAAGGAGCCAAGGGGGAAAAAAAAAGAGUAAUUGGAGAGGAUACUGCUUCCAAGCUGUUGCUGAUUUAUAAGGGCCACACCUACACCAGAGCCACAGCAAGGUGGGAUCCGAGCGCGCG